RNAcentral lists this long non-coding RNA (1081 nucleotides) under Monodelphis domestica (gray short-tailed opossum). RNAcentral's name for it is "lncRNA (ENSMODG00000032330.2)". Lineage: Eukaryota; Metazoa; Chordata; Mammalia; Didelphimorphia; Didelphidae. The record is from RNAcentral.
GUUUCCUUGGCAAAGAUACUGGAAGAGUUUGCCAUUUCCUUUCCCAGCUCAUUUUACAUAUGAGGAAAGGAGGUAAACAGGGUUAAGUGACUUGCCCAGGGUCACAUAGUUAAUGAGUGUCUGAGGCUGGAUUUGAACUCACAAAGAUAAGUCUUCAUAAUUCCAGGUCUGUGCUACCUGGUUGCUUAUUGCCCCAUCCAGCAUGACAUAAUAUGAUUCAGAAUGAUGCUCAGAUAUCCAGGUAAAUGAUGUGCAAAAUUGGAGUCAAGAAGACCAAAUUUCAGAUCCUUACUCUGUCAUAAGCUUGGUUACCAUCGAUUUGACCUUGGUUCUGUCAAUCACAAUGGCAUACCAUUUUUCAAUCCAAGGUAAAUUUUCUCUACAACAACAGGCAGAAGGUUGCUAAGAAGACAUUGUCACCAAGGAUAGGCUUUCCAAGAUUAACAAGUGUGCAUGAUGAUCAAAAAGCUUAUCAUAAAAAAUUCCACUGAACCACAAUGUUUUCUAACAAAUCACACAGCCUGCCUGAUAUAUCAGGAUGUGUCCACAUUAAGGAAAUUUAUUUGGACUCAUAUUUUAGCAGUAUCUCAUUUGUUUGCUGUUGAAUGAGACUUCCACUUACCAUUGAAAAUACUGACAGCCUUGAGACAAAACAGACAGCUUCCCAUCUUGAAGAGGCAUCAAGUGUGGCUAACAAAGUCUGUGACAGACACUAUGAGAGAUCUACCCUUCCUGGAUAUUUUAGGCAGAACAAAGACUAGCACUUUGAGAGUAUUGGGAAGAUUAUAUAAACUUACAUUAUGUUUUAGACAUGGACAUAUAGAAAGGAAACAGAACUAGCCUCAUUUUUCUACCUAAACCACCCCACUGGGGUUUCAUCACUCAUCCAUUCAACAAAUAUGUAUUGAGGACAAAUGAUGCAAAAGAAAAAAAUCAUUCUCAGUAUACCAGGAGAUACAAACAUGUCUAAAAAUAGGGCUCCUGCUUUCAAUGAGCUUAUUAUCUAGUAGAGGGUAUCAGCUUAAUGCAGGAACAUCUAUUAUCUAAUAAAUAAAACUUCAUCUCUUAUCUAUGUUGAGCA